RNAcentral lists this ribosomal RNA (617 nucleotides) under uncultured archaeon. RNAcentral describes it as "bacterial SSU rRNA". It matches the Rfam family "Archaeal small subunit ribosomal RNA", at positions 1 to 624 of the family's 1478-position model. The record is from RNAcentral.
UUUCCGGUUGAUCCCGCCGGACCUGACUGCUAUCGGAUUGAUACUAAACCAUGCGAGUCUUUGUAGUAAUACAAGGCAGACGGCUCAGUAACACGUAGUCAACCUACCCUAUGGACGGGAAUAAUCUCGGGAAACUGAGCAUAAUACCCGGCGUACCACCAUUCCUGGAAUGGUUGGUGGUUAAAAUGAUUCGUCGCCGUAGGAUGGGACUGCGACCUAUCAGCUUGUUGGUGAGGUAAAGGCCCACCAAGGCGAUUACAGGUACGGGCUCUGAGAGGAGAAGCCCGGAGAUGGGUACUGAGACACGGACCCAGGCCCUAUGGGGCGCAGCAGGCGAGAAAACUUUGCAAUGUGCGAAAGCACGACAAGGUUAAUCCGAGUGAUUUCUGCUAAAGGAAUCUUUUGCCGGUUCUAAAAAUACUAGUGAAUAAGGGGUGGGCAAGUUCUGGUGUCAGCCGCCGCGGUAAAACCAGCACCUCAAGUGGUCAGGAGGAUUAUUGGGCCUAAAGCAUCCGUAGCCUGCUCUGUAAGUUUUCGGUUAAAUCUAUACGCUCAACGUAUAGGCUGCCGAAAAUACUGCAGUGCUAGGAAGUGGGAGAGGUAGACGGUACUUGAUA